This 274-nucleotide ribosomal RNA is filed under the name uncultured bacterium. RNAcentral describes it as "partial 16S ribosomal RNA". It matches the Rfam family "Bacterial small subunit ribosomal RNA", at positions 523 to 796 of the family's 1533-position model. The record is from RNAcentral.
AUACGAAGGUCCCAAGCGUUAUUCGGAAUCACUGGGCGUAAAGAGUACGUAGGCGGUUUGGUAAGUCAGGUGUGAAAUCCCGAAGCUAAACUUCGGAACUGCAUCCGAUACUGCCAGACUAGAGUAAUGGAGAGGCAGGUGGAAUUCUCGGUGUAGCAGUGAAAUGCGUGGAUAUCGAGAGGAAGACCAAUGGCGAAGGCAGCCUGCUGGACAUUUACUGACGCUGAGGUACGAAGGCUAGGGUAGCAAACAGGAUUAGAAACCCCAGUAGUCC